UAGUAAAAAAAAAAUAAAACAAUAAUUAUUCUUCAAAGAGCUAGCAAAAUCAGAAAACAUGUAAAUAAAACACUACAAAUAUAACAAAAAGGAAAAUCAAAGGCAUAAUAAAUAAUUAUUCUGGUGGGGAUGCUUGCAAAAUGUUACACUAAGCUCAAUUUUAUGAUCUGCAGCAACAAUAAGAUGCUUGAUUAAACUUUAAGACCAUAUGCUCACCGUUGAAUCUUGAUACCUGCAAAAAUCCAUAAGUUAAAUAAAGCAACCCAGGUGAAAAUCAACCUUAAAUGAAAUCAUAUAAUAUAUAUAUAUAUAUAUAUAUAUAUAUAUAUAUAUAUAUAUAUAUAUAUAUAUAUAUAUAAUGUUUUAACCUAGUAUUUGUGCAACUUACCAUCAUUGAUUAUGUCCAAUCAUGAUUUUAUGAAUCAUCAAAAGAAUCUAGCAUGAGAGAAGAAGACCUUGAUGUAGCCAAAGAAGACUUGCCGAAUUUCCAAGAAAGCAAAAUGAAUAUUUGAAUAUAACAUGCUAUUGUAAAGAUAAAUUAAGAAAAAAAUAAAGAAUUAAAAAAUGGUAUAAAAUAGAUUGUAUAUAAACUAAUUUCAAUGAUUUAAAAAAAAAUCAUAUUUUUUACGUAGAAAUUUAUCCAAUAAAACUAGUUUGUCAAGGAUUGAGAAAAAAAUAUAUGAAACUUGACCAUGAUUUGAACCACAACAUCAAAGGAUUUUGGACUUGCUGUGGUUUACAUAUCAAAGAUCAAAAUAAAAUUGUGACUUCAACCAAAACAUCAAAAUGUUUAGACUUAUUGUGAUCAAAAUCAUGCAUAUCAGUGGUAUUUUCCUAUAAUUCAUCAGAAUAUCAAAAGAUUGAAAGAAAAUUGUGACUGCAACAUAAUUUUAGAACCUUAACUCAGAAUGCCAAAAGAAGUUUGCCGGCAAGUCAUCCUUGGCUGCAUUACAUGACCUCAUUCCCACAUGCAAGACAUUAGAUGAAUUAUUUGAAGCUAGUGAUCAUUCAAAUAGGCUAUAGAAAAAGAAAUCUAUGAUUCCUACACAAAACAAGGUACAAAAUCAAGUUAUUCAGUAUAACCAAUCAAAUGCAGCCCAUCACUGCCAUAACUGCAAGAACAGUUUUUUCCCCAAAUGAGGAAGACAACAUUACAUUGACAAAAGAAACAAACAAGCAAGGACUCUUAUAAGGGGUUAGCGAGUAACUAACUGGUAGAGGUGAAGAAGCCAAAAAAGUGGCUUUCUUGACAUGAAACAGACGAAUGGGGUUUUUAUGCAGAAAAAGGAUCUGAUGAGAAUAUAAAGAAAAUGUUCAUGCUACAUGACAUGGCAUGCCAGCUCUAGGCAUUAAUGAUGCUAGCAUCUCUGCAGAAGGGGAAGCUCUAUAACUGUUCCACUGUUGUCCUUUACUUAAAGGGAAAUCAGAAGAAGAAAAAAAUGUGUAUUCUGGAGGAUUCUUAUUGUUGGAUGUGACUUUGCAUGGUGAAGAAACCAAGGAAUAUGAGAACUUUAUUAGAUGCAUGCCCACCCCACCACCCUAGUUUUGUGUAGCUUCUCAUAUCAUCCCUCUGUGAUCAUUUAAGAGAACAGCAAAGACCCUUUUUCUUUAACUUGGAGUAUCUUUUGAUUGGAAGUAAACUUUCAUUUCUACAAAUACAAAAUCCAGUUCAAGAUCAUCUUUUUGAAUAGAUAUUCUUUCAAACACAUAUCUGUUGAUCCAACUUCCAAUCAUAUGUUUAAAAGAUAGUUAUCCGUUAAUUAUAUAAUAAUACCAGACAUAAAGAUGUAACAUCUAAUCGUAUAUUUAUCAGAUCAUUAUCUAUCAGCUAUAUGACAAGAUAUUGAUAAACAUGAAACAGAUUAUGUUCAAUGAACAGUAUCUACAUAAAUAAAUACUAUUCACUGAGUUGAAAACUGAUCUAUGUACAUUGUGUUAGGUGGAUCUAUUUAUUACAUUUGACCACAACUAUGCACGGAUUUAGUGUUCUAAGAAAUGUAUAGAUUUUAGCUUCACAAAAACAGAGAAUCUCUAACCUAAAUUUUCAAAACUCAGGUUAUGUGUUCGUAUAUGAUUGGAAUCCAAGUUGUCAUGGGAAUGCUGUUAGCUAGAUAUCUAGUAAGAAACAACAACUCUUACAAGUACUGAAGAAUGACAACAUGUUUUAUAACAGUUGAACAGUAGAAGUUUCCAAUUUUAAUCCAACUACUUAUGAAGUUCUCUUUCACUGGUACUCUUUGGCCUAAACUAAACCAAACUCUAUACAAUCGAAAUUGCUCCAGCGUUCAACAAUUCAUUGAUCAUAUAUCAGAUUUGUUAAUAAUAGCUUCAUUUUAGUUUUCAAUUUCUAAAUAACAAAGUAGGUGAAAAUUUGUUCACCUCAACCAUGUUAUUUGAUUCUGUCUUUCUAUUUGAUAGAAGCUGAAAAAAAUGUUGACUUUCAAUAGAGGUUCUACAGAGUAAUGACAUAAUCUAAAUAGCAUAGUUGCCUCUCUAAGAUAACAAGGACCAUCCAAUAUUUACAUAUUCAAUUUACACUGCAAAAAUCUUAAAUCAUUUCUCAGAAAACUUGGGUGCAUGGUUUAAGACAAACAACACAAAUGACUAAAACAACCUCAAUAUUAAUCGUACCAUUCAUUCUUUAUUAUUUUUGGAAGGACCAUUCCAGAAUUGAAUGAUGGGUUUUUGUACUGGUUAUCAUGAGUUAACUGAAAUUAAAUGCCUCAAACUCAGAAUAAAUCAACACUAGUUUAUCAAUGAAAAUAAUCCAAAUCCACAUUCCACACCCACAAUGUGGAAUCGAUAUCCUUGUCAAACCUCAUGAAUAGAAAAUUGAGAGAAAAUUAUCAAAAAUUGUUGAAAAAUAUUCACUAAAAUUGAUCGACCGAAUUCUCCAACCAAAAUAAAUCCUCAGUAAAGCCAGUAAUUCUCCAACCAGUAACACGAUUAUCCAAAACGUUGAAUGGGUCCAUGGUAUUUGGAUUUAUAUCACAUCGGAAUGAGUUCUAUUUCACGUCAAGAUAAUUCUAAAAAUGAAUUAGAAGAUAAAUUGAAUAAAAACUAUAAUUUAAACCGAAAAGUGUGGAGCCAAAGGAUGGAAUACAUUUGUUCUUGAUUCACCAUACAUAAUGAAGCAAGUAUAUACUAGGCCAACACUUCACCGAAUAAAACCAGGUUAAUUCCAAAUGGAGCCUCACAAGCCAUUUAUUUACAUGAACAGUCACAACUUUCGUGGCAUGUCCAAAGUCAAAGAAAUAAGAAAUAAUAAGAACAAAUCAUAAAUGCAAAUAUGGCCAUGAUGCUUUUGCAUCAAUCAGAUGAGAGCCAACAAAAACUAUUGCCUACGAAAUGAGUUGCAUAGAAUAAAUCAAACUGCAUUUCACAUAUAAAAUUACAAACCAGUGAACAAUACAAGUUGUUAAAUACAAACGAUCACUUAGCAACCGAAAUCCAAUUCAUCCACUCUCCAGGUAUCAUCAAAGUAUUAUUUAUCUAAUCCAAAUACCUGGAAAAGUGAAAUACACCAAAGCUCCAAAAGAAAUUCAGAUCACUGCAUCUCUCUCUAGGCCAUUGUUCACAGAAUUUAAACAAGUACUCAAGAACAGAAUUCUGAGAGUAACCCUAGUCACACCUUUGCACUGGCCAUUGGAUCACCAAGAUUUCAGAACACUCUUCUUUUCUUGUUGCAACUUUUGUUAGUAGUGGUAGACCAAUAUAAUUUAAAAGUGAAAUAAAUAAAAAUAAAUGUGGUUCAGUGCAGUUGAAUGCUAAUUAAGCUAAACAAAUGUACAGCACUGAUAAAUAUCCAAGCAUGUGUGAUAUUGGCAAAAAAAAAAAAAAAAAACUGCCAAAAUUGAUGGCAUAUUCGAAUACUGCUUUUGAAAAGAGUUUUUAUAUUUGAAAAAACUAAAAACAAAUCGGUUAAGAAUUUUUUUUCUCAAUCUUAGUGCAGAAAAAUGAAAACGCGUUUUAGUUGUUUAUUUCAUUUAACUCGUUAUAAUCAAUUUUCUAUUUUCACUUCGAACUACUACAGCCACAGUCACCAUCACUACCAAUGCUGUUGAAGUGCCUUCCAGCUUUCACAAUUUAUCCUCAAAACAGAAUUCAUCAAACAGAUCCUCUAUUUCGGAAUUACCAUAUACCAUACAAUGUCUUCUAAUAAUCUUACCACAAACAAGUUGUUGUCGACUAUGAGCUUCAGUCGUUGAGUUAACAACAUAUUAAGAUGUAAGUACAGCUUUCAUACUAUUAAAACUGAAAAGUGCAGUCACGUAAGGUACUCACAACACCCAUUUGUAUGAACUUUCAGAAUCAUAGAAGACAACAUGCCUUUACCUGUUCAUGCUGAUAUAGGCAAUAGAGGCACCUGCAAUACAUGACGCCAAAACUCCACCAAAUUUGAUGUGAUAGUGAAAAUAUGAGAAAAUAAAACCCAAAAACAGUAAAUAGUAUACAACUGAUGGAUGAAAGGUACAUGUUGUCUCAGUUUUAAAGUUAAAAAUAAACCACAAUAAUAACAGAAAGGCAAGCCAGCUUUAUAGGUUCUUGGGAGAACAAGUUAUCAAGCUUGGGAAUUAAGGUAAAAUGGACAUGGCCAAUUUCAAUAGUCUCCACAUAAGUUUGGUCCUCUAAGUAGUAGCGUCAGGGUGGGCCAUAAGUUUGUCAAACCCUGGUUCAUCAGGUCUUCUGGUUUAGGCAGUAGGCAGGCUGCGGGCUUCACAGAACUCAGCUGUUUGGGUGGUAAAGGAAAGGGAACAAAGGGAAAACAAUAUCAUCAGAAUUCUAAAUGGGACUGGUCAGGUUAAGAUAUCAAUCUCUUAUUUACUAUAGUAUAGGAAGUUGACAGUUCUAAAUUAGAGGAAGCUUCCAGAUAAAAGUAGACCAUUAAUGAAAAUUGCAUUCUACCUGCAGAGACUCAUUAAGUUCAGUAAGCAUGAUUUCUCCUCCGAGAAACACCACUCUGAGUUGACAACCUGGAAACAGGUACUAAAUAUUAGAAUUGAUGAAUUCAGGAACAGUCAUAUCAUAACAAAUUAUCAGUAAGAGUGACCUUUUCAAAACAUGGAUAGGAAAGAAUAAAGAAACUGUGAAUGUAAGGUAACUUGAUUCUAGUAAGGGGCAUUUUAGAAAAUAUUUCAAAGAAUGUUUUCCAAAAGGAUAUUCAAGUUAAAACUAUUAUUUUAGAAGACUAUAAAUCCACUCAUAAUAUUAACCCUUGAAGGGAUGGAUAACAAUCAAUGUUAUCAAUAGAAGAUAACAAUCUAUCGCAGUCAGCCUAAUAUCUGCCAUAUAAAUAUCACAUAUGGCAUGACAGCCUACUACGAAAAGUCAUAGUGGAUAAAUUUUAUUUUAUAUAAUGACAAACUAAUUUCACAACAUUCAUAAAAUUCUUAUGAUUGUUGAACACAACUCAUAAUAAUACUAAUAUUUUAUUAACCAAUUUGAGGAUGCAUUGCUUUAGUUUUCAGUGCUUGAUAUUAUCCUGUAAGUGGAAAAUAAUUGGUAACAAUGUUCUAGGAGCAAACAUACAUAAGAACAACAAACAAUGUCAAGAAGGAACAAGAAAAAACAGAAAACAAAACUUGGUUUCAAGGUUUAGGUCCUCAGAGCUUAUGUCGCCACUGUAAUUCAAGCUGCUGAAGCCACUGCCAUAGAUGACUCAAGAGACUUGAUGACAAAGAAAGGUCAUUCUCUAUUUCUUUCACAGCUCUGUUCUCACUCUGUGAAGAAGGUUCUCAUUCAUAAAAGAGGGCUCAUUCAUUCCCAUGUCCAGGCUUAGGGUUAUUUAAAAAUGGGUCAAACCCAAAACGAUGCUUUUGAAAAACAAAAAACAAAGGAAGAAACCGAUAUUUCACCAUAGGCACCAUGAACCACAUCACGUCCAUGGCAGGGUGCCAUGGCAUAAGACACCAUAUCCUUCAAACAGCAGAUGGUGGACGGCAACUAAUGGAAAUCAACACGCCAAUACCAUUAUGGCACUACCAUAACGGCAAUUUUAUAACGCUCAUGAUAACAAUGGACUAGACAUUAGUGUAUGCAGAACAUUGGGAAUUUUGUGGAAACAAAAUCCAUAGUAUCAAAUAAUAAAGUAGAAUUGUGGAAGCAAACGCCAGAAAACAAAAGGGGAGAAAAUUUAAUAUGUAAUUUCCUAUUAAAAUAAAUAUGCCAAUAAACAUCCAUAAAUCAAAUUUACAUAAGUGAAAUGCUAGUAGAAGCUUCCAUGACACAAGUUUCCAAAAGUGUUGUAUAAUCCAACUCCAACCUUUCUGUCCUUAAAAUCGAUUAGAGCUGAAAUCAAAUAUUCAACUGUGCAGUUAUCUUAUGUUAGGUUCAUUUUCAAAACUGAUAACCUAUAUAUUCAUCUAAGCUGAUAAUUACAGUGAAAAGUAAGAGAUAAAAAAACUUAAGGACAAAAUUAGACAUCAGGAAGAUUUAUUACCCAGCAGUACUAGACCGUCCCAAAGAAUAACUUCCAUAAGCCCCAUAAGCACUGCUACUUCCAAGCUACAGAUGCAUGAAACAAUAUUACAAACAUGGAACAAGAAAACACGGCUGAAAACCUGAAGAAUUCGGGCCCAUUUAAAUAUGAUUCUAAACUCAAGUCCAACUGAAGAGAAGUACCUGUGAACCACCAUAGCUUCCAUAAAUGUCACCACCUGUUGCAUCACUUGAGCCACCAUACCCACUUGAAUAAGAAUGUCCGCGUCCAUGUCUUUUACCAUCUCUACCAUCAAAGCUUAGGCCAUCUGAUCCAUCUGCUGAAACAGGCAGAUACGGCAUAACUGGAAGGAAUGCAGAGAGAGCACCCUCCCUAUCAAAAAUAUUCGCUCUCAACCGUGUAAGUACAUGCACCAGAGCCUCCUUGGCCACGUCAAGAUCUCCUGAAAUCUAAUCAGAACGGGUUUGGGGAGCCAAUGCAGUAGGACAGAAUGUUAGACUCUAUCACAGACAACAUUACUAGACCAAAGAAUGAAAGUGCCCUUACCUGCACCAUUUCAUCAUCUUCAGAUGCAAUCUUAGGAAGAUUAUCCUUCGAGAUUAUGCGAAUAUUAGCUUUUGUAAGCCUCCUCAUCUCAGUUAUGAUAGAUCCCCCUUUACCAAUAAGGCAACCAAUUCGUGAGGUUGAUACCAGAAGACGGGUUGUGAAAGAGAUGAUUCCUGAAUCUCUUUCAACCUUCUCACUGCAACGAGGUUGCAAUCGCACAGCUGCUUCUAUUGUUGGGGAGAAAGUCUCUUCAAAGAACUGUGUUAGCACAAGUUAUAAACCUCACAAAAUGCACAACAGCAAAAAUCAUACCAUAAAAAGUACAUUUAUAGCGGAAGUGGAAAAUGUAGGGCAGUGGGAGAUCAACAUGUCUCCUCAAUAAUUGAAAUGGUUACUAACCAUAUUUGGAUUUCAGUUGUAAUGGGGAAAUUGGGCUUUUCAAUGCAUUAAAGUAAAAGCAACAAGUUUGUUGAUUUUGGAAAAAACGUUUUGUAUGAUUUAACGCAACAUUUUUUCAUACAUGCCAUUCGUAGUGGCACAAUUUAGAAAAAAUAUCACCAUAUAGCACAAAAUACAAAUCAAGGGAGCUUUGUAAACUCGGAUCUUAACCGAGAGAUGGUGAUAAAGGCCCAUUAGGUGACCAUAAUUUUACCUCUUUUGUCGAAAUGGUGAUCAAGCAUUCCUCUCCUUCAGUUGGUGAACUAUCAACUUUAAUUGUUGCACCAGAAUCCUGCCUAAUUUGAUUUAUUAUCAUACCACCUUUUCCUAUAACACCUCCAAUGUUUCCUGUUGGGCAAACCAAUCGAACUGAAAACUCCUUUGAAGACCCCUCAUCCCUUGGAGCUGAGUACAUGGACCGUGGUGGCCAGUCACUAGUGUCACCUUUAUAUCCCCCAUAAGCUCCAACAAGGGGAGCUAUCCCCACAAUUGGAGCUCCUGGAGUUGGACCAAUGAGGGAACUACCAGCAGGAUAUACACCAGGAACAGCAGAAGUAAGAAGAUUCUGAGAUCGUGAAGGGUUAUCAUGAAGUCGAGAUGCUAUUUGAUGCAGAGCCCUUUUCACAACAGCGGCAUCCCCAGUAAUCUUGAGUUUCAAAAAGCCAAUAGAAAGCAAAUUAUAAACAAAUAUUAGUUUUCAACAGUAUCUAAACAAUAUAAACAAAAACAAGUCAGCCAAAUAGUAAUUCAUUUAAUACCAUAAUCAUCAAUUGCAUUAGUAAAUAAAUAAACUGAAAAAAUAACAUUGAAUUUAAUAAAAAUCUCAUCCAGUUCACCUGAACAAGCUCAUCAGAGCUCAAGGCGCACAAAGGUAAAUGAUCAUCCUUGAGUAUCCUAAUCUGGGCCCCAGUCUCACUACGAAUGUUCUGAACAAUCUGCCCGCCUUUCCCAAUGACACAACCAAUCUGAUCAGAUGGCACCAGCAGCUUAGCAGUCACUUGGUGACCUCCAUCAUCAUCCUGAUCACCAUGCAAGUCCUCAGCAACUAUUCUGUCAUGCACCUUAAACAGAGCAUCCUGAGCAGGAGACACGUAAUUCCCACCACCCUCAACAGAAUUAGUCUCAUCACUCGGGCUAUAAAUAGUAACAACUCGCUCUUCACAACCCGGCACAGUCUCACCAAUCCUGAUCUUGGCCUUGGUCUCCACCCUCAGUUGCUUAACAAUCUCACCUCCUCUACCAAUAACACUGCCAAUCUUUCGACCCGGGCAUACAUAUCGAAAAACUGUAUCUUCCGAAUCAAUCACAAACUGCUCUCUAUCCUCACCGUGAUUCCUCCUUUUAUUUGGUCCAUUAUCAUAAUCAGAUUGAGAGUGGGGACGCUUACCAUAACCACUCCUUUGGCCACCCAUUACGGUAAAUUCUCUAUACCAACUUCCAAAUCAAACAGACAAACAGCUUUCAAAAGGGUCUAGAUAUUCUGCAAAGGUCACAAACCCAGAUUUCAAACUACAAUCUAAAACAUUAUAAUAUUCAAUACAAUAAAAACACACAGGUAAUAAAUUUAAUAGGAUGGUCAAAGAAUCUAUUUUGAUGAUUGAAUUGAGAAAAGGACCAACUACUUUUGCAGGGUAUGCUAACAUAAACUCACAUAUGCAACAGAACAAUCAGAUCCAUCGUAUGAAUAUGAACUACAUAUAGAAAUCAGGCUAAAAUAUCGACUUUAUUGAACUUUCAGCGAGAAUCACCCAUUAUUAUUACUUAAAGUAAAUACCCAGACCAUAGGGUAAUUGGAAUUGGGAUGAAAAUACAAUUGAAAAAUAAAAGAAAAAAGUUUUAUCGAAUAAGAUAAAGAAAGAAAAAAAGGAAAAGAUUGUGAGAUCUGGGAAGAGAAGGAGUGAUGCGAUGCUUACAAGGUGGAAUUGGAAUUUGGAUGAACCCAGCAGAAAAGUCGUCGCUUGAGGAGACAGGGAAUCUAUCUUAAUUUCAAUUGCGUUAGGGUUGGGUUAAUCGUCAUUUAACACAAAUGAUCUGUCAAUUUAUAUUUUUCAUUAAUGUUUUAAAAAGGUCAUAUUUUUACUAAUGUAUUUUUGUUAUAUAUAUAUAUAUAUAUAUAUAUAUAUAUAUAUAUAUAAGAUUUGGAUGUUGCCAUUAUUGUUCUGUUAAAACUUGUAAUUUUAAAAUCAAAUUAUCAUUAAAUUAAUUCUUAUGAGCCAUGAUAUAUUCUAUCUGUUUGAAUUAUAUUUAAUUCUUUCAUAGUUUGUUGAUAUUUCACAUUCAAUAUUAAAGCUGCAACAAAUAGUCUUUUUUAUUUUUUUAAUGUAAUUUUAAGAACAUAUAAUUAUAUGGAUGAUGCAUUUUUUUCAUAGUAUAUUCUUUCUGGUCUAUUUUAUAUGAUGACUUAUAAGGUUUCAAACAUAUGCUGAACAAUAUAAUUAAUAUUAUUUAGUUAUAAGUUAAAUUUUGUAAUUGCGUUUUGAUUUUGGUUUUAUGAUAUUCUAAAGUUGUAAAUAAAUUCAAGAUCUUCCUCAUGGAAUUCGUUAAUAAUUUAUGUUUGAAUAAAAUUUAAAUCAUGAGUUAGGUAAUAUAUGAUUAAAGAUAUAAUAUGAAUAUAUAAUUCGUUAAGAAAAACUGUUAAUUAAUGGAUUUUUUUUCUUUUGAUGUAUACAUUUUAUAUUUCUAUUUUAUUCUUAACUAUAUUUAUAAAAUUAAAAAAAUCUGUUUACUUUUAAAUUUUCGUUUUAAUAUUAUUCAUAUUUUAAAAUUAAAAAUUUAUCCAAAUAUUAAGAAUAUUGUCGAAAUCAUUCAUUACUUUUUAUGUAACUAUCGCUAUCAAUAUUGUUUUUUUACAAUAUAUUUUAUAUAGCCAUUAUUAUAGUUUUUCCGUAAAAUCUAUGGAAGCAGAAAUGUUUCUUCGCUAUAUCUUAUAAAAUAAAUGUUACUUAUCGAUAUUACCUAUUUUGGUUUAUAUAUUUGUUUUCAAGUCCUAUAAAAAUAUUUUAAAUAAAAAUCAUUUUUAUCAAUUUUACGUUUUUGGUAAUUUUAUUAUUUUUUAUUUGGUGCUUUUUUUUAAAAAAAUUUAACUAUUUUUAUAAACUAAAAUAACUAUUUAUCUAAAACUAAGCUAUAUUAAAAUUCUAAAAAAAAAUUAAAUUUACUUUUAUGAUUAUAAAAAUAAUAUUUUCACCAUUAUUUGUAUUUUAUAUAUAUAAUCAACAUUGAUAAAAAUAAUAAUAAAAAAUAUUAUGAAUACACUCUCUACCCCACCACACACACAGACACACAUAAAUAAGCACACAGACACACAUACCACACACACAGAGACACAUAUAAAUACGCACACACAGACACUCACACAUAAAUAAACAAACAAACGCAGACAUAGACACAUACAGACGCACAUCAACACACACAUAAACAGACACACACACACACAAACACAUAGAGACACACAUAUUGACACACAAACACACACACACACAAACACAAACAUACACAAACACAUACACACACAUACACAUAUAUAGACACACACAUAGAGAGACAUACGCACAGACGCAAACACACACACACAAACAGACACACAGGCACACACACACAGACACACACACAUAGACACACGCACACCGACGGACAAACACAAAGGCGCACACACAGACACAUACACACAUAGAGACACACACAAACUUUCUUGGUAAUUGAAUUUUUUAUAAUAAUUUAAAAAUAUAUUAUUGAUUAUCAUGCCAAGUCUCUGAUUUGCUUGAUACUCAAAUAAAAAAUAGUUUUCUAGUAUUUUUGUAAAUAAAUAUAAAUACUUGAGUGUUUGUUCUCUUUAUUUUAGUAUUUAAUGCUUUAUUUUUUUUUCUCAGUCAUGCAAAAAUUACUAAAGAAAUAUUAAAUUUUCAAAAUCAAAAACAGUUUUAUCUUUCACUUGUUUUUGUGUCUAUUUGGUUGUUCAGGUUAUGUGACUCUAUUUUUUUUAAUAAUUGGAAAAUACAAAACAAAAUCAUAAAAUUCUCAAAAUAAAAAAUAUCAAAAUUCACAAAUGAAAUUUUCUGCCAAAACUACAUGAUCUUUGAUUCUUCAUUAAUAGUGGAGAUACGUAAGAGCAAAACUAGUCCUUGUUAGAUUCAUUUCCCUAAAAUCCAAAUCAUUUUCUAAAAAAAAAUCAUUUUCAAUGAAGUGUUUUAAAAAAACUACAUAUCCUUGAUUUCUCACAUGAGAAUAUGUAGGAGCAAAGUUAAUCCUUUACGGGCUUCCUAAAUAUAAAAAAUAUUUUUGUUUCUUUCGUGUUGUCUUGCACUGUUAUUUUUGGAAAGAAAUGACAUUUUAAAACUCACAUAAACUUUAUACAUUAAAUUAAAGACAUUGCUAUUUGGGCAGACGUUGUAAGGUACUAGUACAUAACCGACUCCGGACUUAAAAUCUUGAUUUGAAGACCAUGACUUAUCAUUUUGUGGUUUUUAUGUAGUUUUUCAUAAUAAAAUAUGGUGGUGACUCCUAAACUCACUUUCAAAAUUUCAUUUAUUUUAUUUUACAAUGGUCUCACUGUCCCGUCACAAUCCCGGUUAUGACAUACCACCACAUAGGACUUGUACACGAGACUUUUACCCCACACAAGCUCUGACUAUAAAAACACAAUGGUACUUGCAUAAAAUAUUUUUUAUUUUAUUAAUAGAUAAUAUUCCAAUCACACCUUCAAUGACGUGUACUUCCAUGGUCUUACACUUGUCGUGCAAUAUAAGUUCUUCAUGCAUCUUAUCGACCUAUUUAGGCUUUACACUAAGCUAUUUGAGCUCUCCAUGCAUUUUACCUGGCUAUCCAAACUUUAUGUCGAGCUAUCUUAGUUCUCCAUGCACCUUAUCGCACUAUCUGGACUUACCAUACUAUCAAGACUUCCUACUGAGCUAUCCAGAUAUCUUGCGGACUUGAGGACAUAAUGUACAUGUCUUAAACAGGUUCGAGACUUGAAACACAAUUUGCCACGUAAAAAAGAACUAAUGAUAUUCGUCUUGAAAAACUAAAUCCAUGAUUUUAAGAAGAAAUAAGUAAAAUACAAUUAAAUUUGAAAGAGAAACUGAAAACACAUAAUAGUAAAUGAAUCAAAAAUAUAAUUAAUCUUAUAUUAAAUUUUACAUUUAUGAUAAUUAUAUAUUACAUUUAAUAUGAUACAAUAUGUAUUAAGUGUAAUAUUUAUGAUACUGUAAAAUUAAUAGAAAAAAAGAAUAUUUUUAGAGCUCUCAAAACGGACCAUCCGGUCCGACCCAACCCGGUCCAUCACGGGUUGGUCACUUAGUGAGCCAACCCAACCCGGCUCAUUUAUUAACGAACCAGAAAAAUUCGAACUCAGUCCCGACCCACCAUGAGUUGGUGGAUAAACGGAUUGACUCAUUGACUCACUUAAUUACAAUUUUUUUGAAUAAAAAAAAUACAAACAUUCUAUAAUUCAAAUCUAAAUAAAUUUUACUCUCAACAUAAAUGUUUAAUUAAUUUUGAAAAUAAGGAACUUAAAUAUUUUUUUUUAAAAAAAUAAUAAAUAUUUCUUUUAUAAAAUUAAAAUUAAAUUUUAAUAAAAUAAAAUUAGGUAGUGGAUUAGUGAGUCAACCCGGUCCACCACGGAUUCAACCCGUAUGAGCGAGACUUAAAUGUGACGAGUUAGAAUCUGACCCGCAUAAAAAAAAUAGGUUUAAUAGCCAAUUUUGUCCUCAGUUUCGUUGACAAAUCUCAAUUUAGUCCCUUGUUUUAAAAGUGAUUGAAAUGGGUCCUUACUUUCAAAAUUGUGAGUCAAAUUAGUCCCUUUCAUCAAACAGAAACAAACAACGUUAAGGGCUUGAUGAUUUGGCAGAAGAGAUAUUAUUUUAUAGAUAUGCUAAAUCAUUAAACCCUUAAGACCAUUUGAUUCUGUUUAACAAAAGAGACUAAUUUGACUCAAAAUUUUGAAAGUGAGGACUCAUUUCAAACACUUUUAAAACGAGGGACUAAAUUGAGAUUUGUCAACGAAACUGGAGACAAAAUUGGCUAUUAAGCCAAAAAAAUACAUUUUUUUUCAAAUUUAACACAACUCGAACUCGUGGUGGGCCAGAUUAACCCGCAGGUUGUGACCCAUUUUGACAGUUCUAAAUAUUUUAUUACAAUGUUAUGGGUUUAAAAUCUUUAUUCAUUUUGUUAUGGGUUUAAAUAUAUAUACAAAGCUUGAUUUCAUUCCUUUCUGUAAAUUUUUAGGAUAUUUCUUAGAAAAAUUGAAUUUAAUUUCACUCGGAUGUGCGAACUAUUCAACGGUAAUAAUAAGUCAUUUUGCAAAAGAAAAGCAGAGAAACAAAACUAUUAUAAAAUGAGAGAAAAAAAUUUGAACGUUAUAAACUAAAUAAUUUAAUAUAAACUAAAUAAUUUAAUAUCACAUAAUAUUUUAAUGCAUUAAAUACUCCGACAUAAUAUUUAAUUUCACAUAAAAAUAAAUAAAAAUAUAACAUAUAUAUUCAUUAUUAAAUUUAUCAAUAUAUAUAUAUAUAUAUAUGGUUGGUAUAACAUUUUACACACUCAGUGUUAGUAAAAACAUUUUAAAAUUUAAAAUACUUAUUAUAAAAAGUGAAUAAUCUUUAAUACUUUUUAAUUAUGUGUAAAAAUAUUAUACAUCGUAAUUUAUAAUUAAAUAACAUUUCGAAAGAUUAUAUAUCAGUACAAUUUCAUUAGAGAAAGUAGUUCAAUCCUUAAUUAUAUACAAUCACACUUUCAUUCAAUUAUAAAAUACAAUAUAUAAUAAAUUUGUCCACUAACCAUAAAACCUAUUUUGGUUUUCAAUGGAAAGUUUUAAACCCACAAUACAUACAAGUAAAUGUUUUUCAAAAGAAACUUAUAUAUAUCAUGUAUUAAAUAAAUUCCCUAAUAUCAAAAUUAAAUAAAAAAAUUAAAUAUACAUUAAUUUUCUCUGUGAUAUGACUUAAUUUAAAUAAGGCACUCAAUUUAAUCAACCUAUAUUGUAAUUGGACCGAAAGUUUAACGUAUAAAAGUAAUUAAAUAUCUUUAAUUGAAUUGAAAAAAUUUAUAGCAUUCACUAAUUAAUUUCCUGAAAUAAUAAUAAAGUAAAAAAAUUAAAUUAAUAAGCAUUUAUGAUUUUUCUUAACCGUUAUGACUAAAUUAAAACAAACCCACAUGAUGUAACGAGUUCAUCAUCCACAAUUGUUUUUAGGAUAUCUUUGUCUCUAUCUUUCUCUAGUGCGUUGUUUCUAACAUAUAUUCUUCACAAACACUUUCUAAUCACUCUCAAACAUUUCUCUGAAUCCAAAACACAUUUCUCUCUCCUUUCAUCAAACACUUUGCUCAUUCACUCUAAUUCCAUGGCUUCUUCUCUCAGAAUUGACGAAACAGUGCCUGCUUCGAAGGUGGUGCACUUUCGAAACCUUCCUGAACAGUGUUCUCAUGAGGAUCUCAUAGAGUUGUGCAGUCCUUUUGGUAAAGUGGUUAAUCUUUUGUGCAAUGUUGGCCCCAAUAAGAACCAGGGUUUUGCUGAGUUUGUAAGUUCUUUCACUCUUUCAUAUUUAAGUAUGUUUUCUGUUCUCUUUUCUACUCAUGAAUGCAUGUUAUUAUUUGAGUGAGACAAACCUAGGAUAUACUUUAUACUUAUUUAACUUAAAUUCACACAAGUAUUGGAAGAGAUAUAUUAAAGCUAUAGAAAGUGUUGAAUGGUAUAUAAGGAAUGUUUGAUAUUAUGGUAUAUAUAUAUAUAUAUUGAUAUGAAUCCAAUUAACAUUGGUGUGAUGACAUUAAGUAAUGUUGCUUUCAAGGUCUUUAUAGAAGAAGAUUCAACUAGAGAUUAGAUUAUGAAGAUUUAUGGAAACAAUUUAGGAUAGAAUGUAAUGACCCUUUUAGUUUUUCAUUUUAUAGAAUAUGAGUGAAGUUAAAUGAAUGAAUAUAAUCAUAAUAACUAUAAUAUAUGUCUGAUUUUCUAAUAAAAUCUGGACUUUGUCUUGUUGAUUUUUGAACUUAUAUGGUUCUCUUCUCACAUGUUAAGUUUAAAUGUUUAACAGGCAGAUAUAAAUGAAGCCACUUCAAUGGUUUCAAAUUAUGCUUCGUCUCCAGAUCGUGUUCAACUUCAUGGCAGAAAUAUUUAUGUGCAGUAUUCUGAUAGACCAGAAAUUGUUGUUACCAGAUUCGCAAAAGGAAAUAUCCUUCUGGUAACCAUGGAAGAUGUGAAAGCUGGAGAUGUAAGCAUUGAUAGCAUGCGUUCGGUGAGUCAUAUAUAGUUGUCAAUUGAGUUGGAUUUCAAAAAAGUUAGAUGUUAAAAAUCUUAAUUAGAGAUAAAAUGGUUAAGAAGUAAAUUUAAACUCAAUUUUAUCGAAACUAAUUUAUAACAUAAAUUUUAAAUUUACACUUAUAUAUAUAUAUAUAUAUAUAUAUAUAUAUAUAUAUAUAUAUAUGUAUGUAUAUAUAUUGUAAAUUGAAUUUUUAUAAUUAAGGUAAGAUUUUUAACAAAAAUAAAUUUAUUACAAAUAUUAUUUUAUAAAUCAGUUAUAUAAAAUUAAAUUAAUUUAUUUUUUUAAAAUUUAUACAUUUUUAAUUUGGAUAUAUUCUACAUGAAUUAUAAACAAAACCUAUACAUAGCAAACCCAUUAUUCAUUUAAAAAAUUAAAAAAGUUGCUCUUUAAAACCUGACGUAGAACUAAUCUAAAUUUAGUCAACUAAGCAUGUAUUUACAAACAAUAAACUUCCCUUUUGAACAUGAUACCCAUGAUGAUCGAAUAACGACAAACCUCAUGGAACCCUUACGAUUAAGUUAAGUCCUUUUUCCAAAAACCAACAUUAUAAUGCAAGAAAUGCCUCAUGGGUCCUUUUACAACACCAUUUGAAUCCAAUCUAACCUGUAACAUUUAUUUCAAACCUAAUUGAACACUUGCGAGAAAACAUAGAAUGAUAUGUGAUGCUCUUUCUUCAUCCUCUUGAAAAACUAGGUAUGAAAGUUGUAUGUGAGUGUUGAGCCUUUUUAUUUUCUUGUUGUUUAGUGUCUAACAUUAUUUUAUUAAGGAAAUAUUUGGUAGUAUUAUAUAUUUAAACUUUAUAAAUGACUAAAAUUAUAACAACUUAAUUAUAUUAAUUAUACACGAGGAUAUAGGUCAUUUUAAAAAAUCAGUAUUCUCCUAUCAAGAGGCUUAUAACUUUUCAAUAUGUUUAUGUGGUCUUUCCAAAAAAAAAAACUUUUUCUCAUAUUCUUAAAUAUUCUUAAAUAUCAUGUCUCUCCUAUCUUUUCUAUACCUUUAAAAAAGAAAAGAAAAGAAAAGCUAUUCACUUAGGUCUUGCAUAACACUUAUCAUGUUCCACUUAAGCAACUAUUUUUUAUGAAAAAAAUGAUUAAGUUCUUGAGGAAGAAUACUAUUAAAAGAUGAACUUUAAAACUGACUCAACUUUACAAAACUAGCUUGUAAAGUGAGAUUCAUAUAUAUUUAUAACUGUAAACUUGUUGUAUUUGUAGUUGGUGUGAGAUCUCCAACACCCUCUCACACAAGAUAUACAUCUCGAGUGUGAGACUAAACAUUGAUAUGAUGGAGUGAAGAAUUGAAACAAGAGCUAAUAAGAUCGAAAUAACUAAUAUAGAUAAAUAUAUUGAGAUUGAACUUCAACUAUCUUCUUCAACUGUACUACACACCACUGAUUCAAUAUAAAAUAAUGCAGUUAUCUCUAGUGUCACUAAAAGUGAAUGGCUCAAUCUAAGCAUUGAAUUUAGAAAUCUAAGGAUUUCAAUCAUUUCCUCAACUACUAAUGAAUGAAUCCUUGAUUUAAGUGCAUGACUUAACUCAAGCAUUCAACUUCAUUCCCAACAUUCAAACACAUUAUACCAUUUGAUUGGACCUUAGAUUUAAGUAGUUUUCCAAAUCAAUCUAAAUUAGUUAAAUUAGAUGAGUAAUCAGUUCAUCAACAUUCAAGUAUAAAUCAAACCAUUAACACUAAAUAAAAGAAUAAUUAUAUAUAUAAAUCAGCACUAGUAUAGAGAAUUAGAAAAGGUUGCAUCUAACAUGAAUACAAGAGAUUUUAGCCACUCAUAAUGAUGACUCUAGUUACGAACAUAUGGAAUUAUUUUCCUCUCUCAUAACUCUCUCAAAAUGUUACAAAGGAAAUAGAGAAAAUUGAGCAAAAAAUGUUUAAGAGAGAGAGCUCCCUAAAACAUAGCAACAUUAUGUUUUUAUAGAAAUAAAAGUUGAUGCUCAACUCCAGCCUUCAGUACUCAACUGUAGAGGUUUCCUUCUAUGCAAGGUUUUCUUGUGACAUCUUCUGUUUUAGUUUUAAGCUUUUGAGGUAUUCUCUUUGGGAAUGUGUUCUCUAGGCCCAACUCUUCAUCUUAAUUAGGGCUCAAACUCUACAAAUUGGACCAAUUUAGGUUUCCUUCUCCUAAGGGUUUUCUUCCAUGGCUCAAUGCCUAGCUUUGUUGCUUAAUGCCUCUACAAAAAUGUACGUUUUUUUUUAAAAAAAAAUCAUUAAAAUCACACUUAACUAAUUAUCAGUACCACAUUAUUUAUCUUUAAAGUAAGAGGAUCUAAUUUACUUAAGAAUAUAUCAAAUUUAUGCAUUUUAAAAAAAUAUAUCAAAUCAGUUAAGUUCUCCACUUAUAAUGUGAAUAAGAUAAAAGGAUGAUAAUGAUUAAACAACUUUAUAAGGAUUGAUGUGUAGUAAAAUCAACUUAUUCAAUGAAUCAAGAUUGAAUGUUUAAGGAAGAUAAUGACUUUUUGGGUACCUGUGGGAAAUAAAAGCUAAUACAAAGGCUUGGCAUUUCAUUCUAAGAUUUGAAAGUGUAUCUUUCCCCUAUGCCUGAAUAAUUUCUUCAUUUAUAAGUUUGAGUUUGGUUUUGAUAGUAUUGUCCCAAUAAGAUAAGACUCUUGUACUAUUGCUUGUGCAAAUAUUAUUAAUACACCACACAAAAUAUUCCAAUAUGAAGUUCAUGUUUGAGUAGGCUUAAACAAGUGUAUUUAAUUUCUGGUUGUUCACCAAUGAAUUCAAUUUUUUUUACACAUCAUGGUUGAGUUUAAAAAUCUACUUAAGUAAGUAUUAGAUCACUCUUUGUUCCCACUUCUUACAAAUGUUACUCGAUUUUGAACUAUUGUCUUACAUUAACUUAUUGACAAAUAACUUUUUCUUUUGCUUGUUUGAAAAGAGGAAAAUUGCUCUUUACGUUAGAUUCAGUUAACUUCAAUUUUUUUUAGUAGAAAUCUCAUACAACAGAUUAGACAUGAAAUAACCAUCCCCUUGUUCAUAAUCACUCUUCAUGUUAUUUGAUUUGAAUUAUCAUUAACUCUAAAUAGUGAAAUUUACUCAUCUUGAAUUACAUACAUUUAUGUUUGUAUAUUAGAAAAUUCUCAAAUUUUGUACUUAGGAGUAUGUAUAAGGGAAGAUAUUUUGGAGGAUUAUUAGUUCACAGUUUCAAAUAGAGAAGGAAAUUGAGAGAUAUUUAUGAUAUAGUAAAUAUAAAUUAUUUUUAUCCUUUUCAUGUUCGAGUUCUAUAUAAUAUAUUUAUUAAUUACCAACUUAAAAAAAAGGAAAAAAAUCUUAUUGAAAAAUAUAUAUUUAAUCAUUUUCUCUAUAAAUUUCUAUAAAUUGAAGAACAAGAAAGAGAACAUUUCUCCUAAAAUCAUUUGGUUACUUUCGAAUGUUGAAUCCGUCUUUUCGAUUCUUUUUAGAUCCAUAGCCUAUAGAAACUCUAGAUACCAUCCAAGUUGAUUCCUUCCUUGAAUUUUCCUCAAAUGAAAUUUGAAAUUACAAAAGGGAGUUGACAUAUUCACAUAACCAUUUGCUUGCUUCUAUGCUUUUGGUGCAUCAAGAGUAAUAUUUUUGUGGAUAUUGUAGCUUAUUACAACCUAUUUUUUUUGACCAUGAUCAUUGUCUCCUAAGAAUGUAACAUUGCCAUAAAUUCGUAGGCUCUAAUCAUAAUUUUUUAACCAGAAUAAUUCCAAAUAAUUUUGAAUCACUUUAGACAGAUAAUUGCUAAGGCAAUGUCAGAUAGUCAACUUUGGCGAUUUCUUGUUCUAUAACCUCUUAUUUUUUAUUUUAAUGUAUGUUUGCUAAUUGGGGUUAGAAUAUUCUUUUAUUUCUUUUUUUCUUUUUCUUCAGGUCUUCUCUGUAUAUGGUUUCGUACAAAAAAUUUCAACAUUUGAAAAGAACGCAGGUUUCCAGGUUAGUUGAAUUAGUAAUAUAUGAGCUUCUUGUGUCAUUGUUAAGAUAUAAUACUUAGAGAUUUGUAGGAAGUACUUGAUCUUAGAAAAUUCAACCGCAAGUAUUAAGUAUAUAAAAAUUUGUCAAGCAAUAUAUAAAGAAGAGAAUUCAUAAAAUUUAUUAUAAUAAGAUUUUGAAUUGGAAAAUGAUAUUAAAUCUUUUAUAUAGAUUUGAUAAAAAGCUCAUUAUUAUUAAAUAUUUCCCAUAAAUUUUCUAUGAAAAAUCCCAUCACAUUAUUCAGAUAAACAUUGUGUAAUUAAUAUCCCAUCAUUGUAUAUAUAUAUAUUCACUGUUAUUUUUGGGCAGGCUUUGAUUCAGUUUGCUGAUAUUGAAUCUGCUUCUACUGCUAAGGAAGCACUGGACGGAAAAAAAAUACCUAGGCAUGCAGAGCUUUUACAUUUCGUCUUUAAUUUGUUCUUCUCCUUCAUCGAUCUGUAAUUAAUUUUGGUGAUUAAUUCUAAAUAAAUCUUAAUUUUGCUUAUUUAUGCCUUUUGGAUCCAGGUCCUUGCUGCCAGACCGUAUUAGUGAUUGUAACUUUCACAUUGCAUACUCAGGCCAUCGAGAUCUUAAUAUUAAGUUUCAGUCUAAUCGUAGCAGGUAACAAUGGACAUCAAAGACAAAUGAAUCUUCAUAUCUUAAUUUUGUUAUAUGAAAAUAAAUUAGGUUUAAAUUGAUUUCUUAAUAUAUAGUAUAACUUUGUAUUAGUUUGUAUUUUGAAUGGAAUCUUAGUUUCAAUAAUCACGGAGUAAAAUUAGUUAUUAUUGUAAAAUUACUUUCCUCUUGUGAAAACUAGUGGAACAAAAAUUUUAUUUUGCAUCUGGGUAUAUGUUCUGUAGAUUAUAUGAAAGAAUUAAUAUUGUCCUUAAUAGAAUUUAUAAUAUCCUUUUAAUAUCUAUUUAUGGAAGGUAUUUGAAUUUUAAAAAUGCACAACUACAUUUUAUAAUUUUCUUUUUGUUCUAAUCCGUGGUUGAUUAUGCCAUAAUUCCAAGUGGCCAUGUUUUGGGUGAUACUUUCCUUAUUAAGUUUGAAUCCUUAUUUUACAAAAUCAAGCAAUUCAAGGAAGAAGAAUUAAGAAAAAAAAAAUCUAAUUAUGCAAUCUUUGAGUGAAUGUGCAAAUGGUUUUCUAGAAUAUCAUUUCUAUGGGAAAUUGUAAUUAAUUGCAUGAAUGAGCUUCUUUUGCACAGUAAGAAGGAGAAUAUAGAUAUAUAUACACAUUCAAUAACUACUUUCUUUUUAGGCUUUAUAUUUGCAUGUUCACAUUAAAAACUCAUAAUUUUACACAUACUUUUUGUGUUAUGAUUUUGCAGGGACUACACAGAUGCUACUCUUCCUGUUAACCAGGCUACUAUUGCUAGGGCAUUGCAGGUAUUUUCUUACUACUUUUCUUUGAUGAAUUUAUGUUCUUGUUUAUCAUAUGUUAUGUGCUAAUGAUUUAUGAUGCUCAGCCAAUACCUCGAACUGCUGACAACCAUGUACUUUUAGUUUCAUUCGAGAAUCUGGUCCGUGAUGUCACUUUAGAUGUUCUUCAUGGGGUGAGUUUGUGUUCCUCAAUUUCAUUCAAUUUUUUAUCUUUAUAUUAAUGCAGUUGACACACACACACACACACAUAUAUAUAUAUAUAUAUAUAUAUAUAUAUAUAUAUAUAUAUGUUGCAGGUGUUCUCUGAAAUUGGAACUGUGCACAAAAUAUAUAUAUUUAGAAAGAACGGUCGAACUCACGCACUGAUUCAGUAC
This 21348-nucleotide long non-coding RNA is filed under the name Vigna radiata. RNAcentral describes it as "long non-coding RNA (VRAD_LNC000075)". The record is from RNAcentral. Lineage: Eukaryota; Viridiplantae; Streptophyta; Magnoliopsida; Fabales; Fabaceae.